GCGGGAAUAGCUCAGGGAUAGAGCACAACCUUGCCAAGGUUGGGGUCGCGAGUUCGAAUCUCGUUUCCCGCUCCA
Molecule: transfer RNA, 75 nt
Filed under: Campylobacter coli
Lineage: Bacteria; Pseudomonadati; Campylobacterota; Epsilonproteobacteria; Campylobacterales; Campylobacteraceae
Description: tRNA-Gly
Rfam family: tRNA
About the family: Transfer RNA (tRNA) molecules are approximately 80 nucleotides in length. Their secondary structure includes four short double-helical elements and three loops (D, anti-codon, and T loops).
Source: RNAcentral